GCGCGCCGCACGCGCCGCCGCUGGCCUCCAGCCAGGCGGCCUCUAGCCCACACCCAUCUGUCCCCUUCUCCAGAACGCCCGCUCCGGAACCGCCUCGCUUCCCGACUCCUCUGCCUACCUGUUUUCUCUUCCCGCGUCGCCGACGCAACCCGAGCCCACACACACACAUCGUCUUGGCCGGCGGCCGCCUGGAGUGCGCUGUAAACUGAGCGGACAGCCCGGUGACGUCAGGAGCUACGUCACUAGCCGCUGACAGCUGUCCCCGUUCGGCGCGUCGCCUCACGUGAACAGCUGAUCGCGAGCAGAAUUGGCCAUGUGGAUAGCAAGUGCUGCCGAUACACCGAUUUCUUCUGUACGGCAACGGUUGUGAUAAGUUUGGAAAAGCGAAUCGCCGAUGUACGUGCUGAAGUCCGCUUGGAGUCAAUAUACGUGACAACGGCCUCAGAGCGCCUCAAACAUCGCGUCUCCGGCAUACUGGUACAUCUAUGGUGGUAAUCAGAUACGUUUGUCGAGUUGAUUAUGUGAAGAAUGCCGAAAAAAAUGCCCUGCCCUAUUAAUUUGAGUCCUCAGCUCCAUUAGCAACAUAAAAUCCCACGCUGCAUUAUUAGAACGGUAUGAAAUAAUCCAUAUUUCCUUCAAACUGAACAACGGUCUCC
This 656-nucleotide long non-coding RNA is filed under the name Schistocerca americana (American grasshopper). RNAcentral describes it as "uncharacterized LOC124552742". The record is from RNAcentral. Lineage: Eukaryota; Metazoa; Arthropoda; Insecta; Orthoptera; Acrididae.